GUCCUCAUAGCUUAUAAAAAGCAUGACACUGAAGAUGUCAAGAUGGCUGCCACACGCACCUGAGGACA
Molecule: transfer RNA, 68 nt
Filed under: Nicator chloris
Lineage: Eukaryota; Metazoa; Chordata; Aves; Passeriformes; Pycnonotidae
Description: tRNA-Phe
Source: RNAcentral